UGAGCUAUAUGCUUGUCCUGAUGAAAUUGGAACGAUACAGAGAAGAUUAACAUGACCCUUGUGCAAGGAUGACACUCACAAAUUGAGAAAUAGUUCAAUUUUUU
Molecule: small nuclear RNA, 104 nt
Organism: Capsicum annuum
Lineage: Eukaryota; Viridiplantae; Streptophyta; Magnoliopsida; Solanales; Solanaceae
Source: RefSeq, a predicted model, not a curated record